Molecule: unclassified non-coding RNA, 407 nt
Filed under: Hevea brasiliensis (rubber tree)
Lineage: Eukaryota; Viridiplantae; Streptophyta; Magnoliopsida; Malpighiales; Euphorbiaceae
Source: RNAcentral
CGAGAACAUGGGAUCCUCCUCACAAUCACAGAAACAUGGAGGACAUGAAGACAAAGCCUUAGAGUGCCGCAAUGUUGGUGGUCUCACCAUGUAAAUAACCAAAAACAAACCCACCAGAACCAAAACUAAUCUCACAGUCCCACGACUAGAGGACCUAUGGUCUGAUGGAUAAGCCAUAAAAAAGUGCCCCUGUGUCAAAAAGAUCAAAACUUUCCAAUAAUGUGAAACUCAAACUCAAUCAUUUGAGCAAGUUUGAACAAAAACCCACUUCACAAAAUGGGUCUAUAUCCUAAUGCCUUGCAACCCACCAAAUGAAAAGAAUGUAUAAGCAAGCACACAAAAUGAUUGUAGUGAGUAGUAUUCAAACUCUGUUGAAAUCCAAAAUACAGAGAGAGAGAAAAAAACAG